GCCUGGCUGGCUCAGUCAGUAGAGCAUGUGACUCUUGAUCUCCAGGUCAUGAGUUCAAGCCCCACGUGGGGUA
Molecule: transfer RNA, 73 nt
Filed under: Mustela putorius furo (domestic ferret)
Lineage: Eukaryota; Metazoa; Chordata; Mammalia; Carnivora; Mustelidae
Rfam family: tRNA
About the family: Transfer RNA (tRNA) molecules are approximately 80 nucleotides in length.
Source: Rfam by way of RNAcentral